GCUGGUUUUAAAAUGGUAGAAGAAUUUGUAGGAUGAAGUUGUGUAGUGUGCAGAUCAUAUUUGUGACUCCGAAAUCCGAAUGUGUUAUAAGAACUCAACGCUGAUUAAAGGAGAAAUAUGACUUGAGAUGGUGAAGAAGGGCAUGGUGACUGACCUGCAAACAGAAGGAAUGAAAACCAGUAGCGUUCGUCUCUGUCUCGUUCGCGACUCGUUGGGCGUCUUACAACUCAGAGUAGAUCUCUGAAUAAGGGAACACCUUUCAGUGCCAUGAAGCUCUACGUAGUCGCACAACUAAACAGCUCUAUCCUUGGCCAGGGAUUCAAGAUGAAAGAUAGGUAUCAUUUUUGAAGCUAACGAUGAGAGACUGGAAUUCCAUUCGUUUUUGCUCGAUUGGGCCAGGUUCGCCGCAAGGAAGACUUUUUUUCGCCCCACUAUUUGUGGAGCUGACAAGAAAAACAUUGAUUGAAUGAGCUCCCAAGUUCACAAUGUAACAUUACAACCAGCGAAUUAAUUACAGGAUAUUACUACUAAACUACACAGCGCUUAACGGCCAGGCUCCUACCGACAUUACUGAAGUGCUCGAGCCCUAUGUACCAACCGGGAAUUUGAGAUCCUCUUCCAAGAACUUACUGUAAGUACCAUCUGUCAAGCUAGUAAGUUAUAAGGCUAUAAGUGUUUCUCUUUCGCGGCACCUAGCUUACGCAACUUUCGUCCCAACAAUAUCAAACAGCAGCUCACUAUCAAAUUUCGAGACCCUUCCAUAGAAACGUCUUUUUAAUCAAUCUUACCGUCAGUUUAGCAUGCGACAUGGCUUUUGAAACUUAAAUUCACGUACUGCUGUUAAUAUGUUUUUAUCUCUCUUCUCGGAUCCAAUAUUAUGAUUAUAAAUUUUUUU
Molecule: non-coding RNA, 895 nt
Organism: Pocillopora verrucosa
Lineage: Eukaryota; Metazoa; Cnidaria; Anthozoa; Scleractinia; Pocilloporidae
Source: RefSeq, a predicted model, not a curated record